GCCGAGAUGGCGGAGCUUGGUCCAACGCGCAAGCCUGGAAAGCUUGUGAGCCUCGUGCUCGCGGGAGUUCAAAUCUCCCUCUCGGCG
RNAcentral lists this transfer RNA (87 nucleotides) under Candidatus Aenigmatarchaeota archaeon. RNAcentral's name for it is "tRNA-Ser". It matches the Rfam family "tRNA". From Rfam's summary of the family: Transfer RNA (tRNA) molecules are approximately 80 nucleotides in length. Their secondary structure includes four short double-helical elements and three loops (D, anti-codon, and T loops). Lineage: Archaea; Nanobdellati; Candidatus Aenigmatarchaeota. The record is from RNAcentral.